This 1110-nucleotide ribosomal RNA is filed under the name Triticum aestivum (bread wheat). Its description in RNAcentral is "partial small subunit ribosomal RNA". The record is from RNAcentral. Lineage: Eukaryota; Viridiplantae; Streptophyta; Magnoliopsida; Poales; Poaceae.
UAUGAAUCCAAGGUGUCUGAAGCAAAUAGACAGCAUAACAAGAUGACAGCCAGAACUAACUGCGGGGCUAAAAUGAGGCUGAAGAAGGAAAAGGAUGGAACAUUUGUCGUAGAAGAGAUAGUCUGGGAAUACAACCACAUGCUACAGCUCACCGCAGAAAUGCUUGUAUUCUUGCACUCCCACAAAAACUUUGACAAAAAAAUCUUGGAGUACGUCAAGUACCUGCAGUUCAAAGGCAUUAACGCGCAAAUCAUGAGCAUACUGGGCGGUGAUGACCCUGGUAGCUACUUCCUCGAAAUGAAUGCCAAAGACCUGGUUAACCUGAAAGCAAAGAAUUCAAGGAUUGAUGAUGUGGACGAUGUCCUAAAGACUAUCAACUUCUUUAGGGAGAUGAAAGCUAUAAACAGGGAAUUCUUCUGUGACAUGCAACUCGACUCAAGCUGCCGAGGGGCGUAUCAGGACUUCGGGGACUGCGUAACGUUUGACACAAUAUAUAAGACCAACAAGUACCAUAUGCCACUUGGGGUGUUUGUCGGAACUAACAACCACUUACAGACUACAUUCUUUGGUUUCUCCCUGAUAAGAGAUGAGGAUGCAGAUUCAUUCAAGUGGCUGUUGAAGAUAUUUUUAAGGUGCAUGAGAAGGAAGGCUCCUACAUGCAUCCUCAUAGACCAGUGCCCGGCAAUGGCUUUGGUGAUCGCAGAUGUUUUCAAGAACAUAGUACAUAAGCUAUGCCGCUGGCACAUUAUGAAGAAGUAUAGGGAACACCUCACGUACCUGUACUACCUGCACGAUGACUUUAAGGAUGAAUUCACAUCAAUGCUCAACUGGCCCCUCAUGCCAACUGAGUUUGAGGAUGCCUGGAAAAGACUCAUGGAUAAGUACAACCUCCACGAUGAUGCCACAAUGGUGGGCAUGUGGAACGAACGUGAGAGAUGGAUAUCAACCUACUUCAAAGAAAUUUUCUGUGCCAAAAUGACAUCGACACAGCAAAGUGAGAGCAUGAACUAUGUGCUCAAGAAGAACUACGUAAGUAAGAGACAUAACCUACACCGGUUUGUUAGCCAAGUAAACUCCUACGUCAAAACCAGGAGGCAAACAGAGAACUAG